Molecule: long non-coding RNA, 1675 nt
Organism: Pygocentrus nattereri (red-bellied piranha)
Lineage: Eukaryota; Metazoa; Chordata; Actinopteri; Characiformes; Serrasalmidae
Source: Ensembl
AUGGCCCGUCUCAAACAUGUGCGUCCAAAUAGGAGCAGAGGAGCUGGUUCGGGGGGGAAAGUAAACGUCGCAGCCCCCGAGUCGAGAGUGAGCCGCAGCAUGACUCCAAUGAGGAUCUCUAGAGAUCUGCCGUCGUAUUUACAUAAAAUGCGGCGGAAUAAUGGUUUGGACCUUCAAGGAAGAGGAGUUAUGAAGCUGCAUGGAAGACGGUUCGAAGGCCGUAGAGUUUACAGUAAGGGAACAGUGACUCCCAGCACUAAGGACCCCAGCCAAGACAGCACAAGUAUGAUUAUGCCCUCUGGUGUGUCCAGCUUUUUGUUGGAUUGUAUGGAUUCGGACUCAGAAGCAGAGGACACACUUCCUUCCAUUGAGAUGGUUCGCAAAGCUGAUAGUUAUGACGAGGGCACAGCUUUGGUCAGUGAAGAUGAAAUACUGCACCGCCACAUUAAGAACUCGACUCUUCUCGACCUCAGUCAUGCGGUGGACAUAGCCAUGCAACAACCCCCAAACCUCUCCUCCAUUCUAGAGCUCUCACCUGUACUUCAUGGGCAAGCUGCAAAGGAAUGGUUUUGUCUAUCACCCUUUAGCCCCUCACCUUUGACUAAAUCAGCAUCAACCAAGAAUACAGCAGGAAGCAACUACAAAACAUUUGGAGCUGAAGAAAGGACUCCUGAAACGAAGAGGGUGGUUGUUCUUUCUCCUGUUGUGAAAAGAAGGCCUCUGACUGGACAAGACAAGCCCAUGAAAUGCAGAAAGGUGACAUUCAACGACAUUGUGAGCACACGAGACAUAACCAUGCUUAAGCCUCAAAUGGAAUGUCAGAGCCGAGCCUGUGAUGUGCAGAAGGCUGAACUGAGAGGGAACACAGUGAUUGGCGAGAGGGAAGAGUUAAUGGAGCCCCAGGAGCUUUCCUCAGAGACAGCCAAGUUUUUUGACUUUGCUGAUGAAAGUGAGAAGCAACUUUUCUUCCAAAGAUUGAAAAGGACUUGCACCUUCCACUUCCCGACCAAACCGAUAACCUUCACAGACUUUCCCCAGACUGAGGAUGUCAGAAGCUAAGUUUAUGACUUCAGGACAGAAGACUGAUGCACCAUGAGUUGAGAGUUCAGUGGAGUCCGACUCUAAACAUGGAGAGAACAUUUAUUUGUGAUUUAAAAAGUUGACGGCGCUUCCUAAGAGAAACUCUUCUCUACUGUAAUUAUUGUAAAUGAUACUUUUUCAUUUGGAAACAAUACAUCGUUUUGUGUCCUGUUGUCUUGUUACGUCUUUCAUUAUCCUUAAAAUGUUUUUAAAAUGAAUCUAUAGAUGGUCAGUUGUCUUCAGUUGACUGCUGGCGCAGUGGUGUCGUUGUGAAGAAAAGAAUUUCCUGUAAGAGAAAAUUAAAUGACUAAGAUGAAUAAAUAGAAUUAUAAAAUUAACCCCCAGCAAUUGUUUUUUUUUUCUUGGAAACCAUAAAAAGCAUGGUGUUUUUAUAUAUUUUGUAGAUGGAUUUUGGGGAAAUGUGGGGGAAAAUUGCAAACAGACUUUUAGAAAUAAAGGUACAGUGCAGGUACUUUUUCUUUUUCAAGGUACAAACAAUGUAAAUGUACCACAAAGGUACAACAGUGGUUUUAAGGUCCAAGUGUUUUCGUAAGCUACCGUUUUAAAACAUUACAAAAUAAAAUAAAUAGCCUGG